Molecule: ribosomal RNA, 495 nt
Filed under: uncultured bacterium
Lineage: Bacteria
Description: bacterial SSU rRNA
Rfam family: Bacterial small subunit ribosomal RNA
Source: RNAcentral
GAUCCUGGCUCAGGAUGAACGCUAGCGGCAGGCCUAAUACAUGCAAGUCGAACGGAUAUAUGUUUUUCGGAAUAUAUAUUAGUGGCGCACGGGUGAGUAACACGUACAUAACUUGCCCUCAAGCGGGGGAUAGCCUUGGGAAACUGAGAGUAAUACCCCAUAGAAUUAUUGGACGGCAUCGUUUGAUAAUUAAAACUACGGUGCUUGGGGAUAGAUGUGCGUCUGAUUAGCUAGUUGGUGAGGUAACUGCUCACCAAGGCGACGAUCAGUAGGGGGCGUGAGAGCGUGGCCCCCCACACGGGUACUGAGACACGGACCCGACUCCUACGGGAGGCAGCAGUAAGGAAUAUUGGUCAAUGGAGGGAACUCUGAACCAGCCAUGCCGCGUGAAGGAUGACGGCCCUCUGGGUUGUAAACUUCUUUUAGAUGGGGCGAAAAAACGGGAUUUAUCCUGGACUGACGGUACCAUCAGAAUAAGCACCGGCUAACUCCGUG